RNAcentral lists this long non-coding RNA (220 nucleotides) under Brassica rapa (field mustard). RNAcentral's name for it is "long non-coding RNA (BRAP_LNC006318)". The record is from RNAcentral. Lineage: Eukaryota; Viridiplantae; Streptophyta; Magnoliopsida; Brassicales; Brassicaceae.
UUGAGCCAUUUGGACCGAUUAAAAAAUCAGAUCCAAUUCUCACAUUUUUUUUUCUUUGGAGCCAUUGAGUCGAAGUUCAAAUAAUUUUUUUUCAACUAUUCUUAAUUAUUAUUUUUUUUCUUUUCUUAUAUAAUUUAAGCAUUCAUUAAAAAAUUGAGUUUUUCAUUGAAAAGUAUAAAUCUUUAUUAAAAGUAUAUAAUUUUUUUAUUAAAAUAUUAAC